Molecule: non-coding RNA, 2471 nt
Organism: Camelina sativa (false flax)
Lineage: Eukaryota; Viridiplantae; Streptophyta; Magnoliopsida; Brassicales; Brassicaceae
Source: RefSeq, a predicted model, not a curated record
AUUAAGCUAGUGAGAGUAAAGGCGUGUGUGUGUGUGUGGGUCGGUGGUUCAGAUACAGAGCGCGAAUUUGAAUAUCGUUUCUGGGGUUUUGGCCAAUUUGGGGAAGAAGAAGAAGAAGAAGAAGAAGAGGGAAUAAUAAUGGCGGGAAAGCGUCCGUCGCCGUUUUCUUCUCCGCUGCUAAGACCACCACCGGAGCUUCUGAAUGUGAAGGAGGAAGUAGAAACGGAGGCGUCGUGCUGGAGGAAGGAGGUGGACGAGAACUUGAAGCGUCUUCAAUCGCUGCUCUUCGGCGCCGACCAGUUUCUAGAGAAAUCUGAUUUCUCCUCCGCGCAGAUCCUUGGGCUUCGCCUUCUAGGUUUCCUCGAUUCUCGCUCCGUUACUGACGCCGAUCGUGAUUUCAUCGGUCCUAUCCGCCGAGAAGUUGCUUCUAAGGUCGAUUUAGCUUUGGAAGGCCUCGUUUCAGAUUCGGAUCGGAAAGCGUUUGAGCUUGCAAAAGCAGCUCCAGGCCCUAUUUUUUGCAGCAAAGGUGAAUUUGAUGUGGAAAAGAUUAAGCAAUCAAAACACUUUGGUUAUCAUCUCAGUCAAUAUAACGGAAAUGGUGUUAAGGAGAUGGAAGAACGACAGGAUACAGAUAAGUUGGUUUCCAAAGCACCAAAGUCAAUGAUGCAAGCCAAACUGACAUCAUUGUAUGGACACAGCAUGGCUAAACCAGAUAAUCAACGCAGAACUUCCAUGAAUAAUAUAGACCGUGCCUCUGAUGAAUGUGUCAUUGUUGAGAGAAGUCAUGGAUUUGGUUUUGGAACAAAGCGAACUCAUGCAGAAACCAGCAGCCUAGCAAAUGAUGGGGAAAUAAAGGCAGAUGGAGCUGCUAAUGGAUUUGUAUCCGCCAAAAUAAAACUGGAAAUGGAUGCAAGGCAAAGACGAGGAUCAACCGAGUCACCUCUUUCUCCACAGAGUGACAAAAAUGCUUUAGGUAGGGGAUAUGGUUCAAGAUCGGGUGGAUUAAGACGUGGAUACCGUGGUAAUUUUGUCCCUCCUGUUAAAUCUAAUGGGAAUAAUGUUGGAAACCUGACGUCUCGUAUUGGUGGAAAGACCGACGAUGCACUGGAUGACUCAACCAGAACAUGUUUGGAGAUGCUCUGUGGUCCUGAUGGUGAGCUUCCCGAGAAGUUGAGAAAUUUGGAACCUCGUCUUAUAGAGCAUGUCAGCAACGAGAUUAUGGAUCGAGACCCCAAUGUCCGCUGGGAUGAUAUUGCUGGUCUGGAGCAUGCUAAAAAGUGUGUAACUGAGAUGGUCAUUUGGCCAUUGUUGCGUCCUGACAUUUUCAAAGGUUGUCGUUCACCUGGAAAAGGACUUCUUCUCUUUGGCCCACCAGGAACUGGUAAAACAAUGAUUGGAAAAGCUAUUGCUGGAGAAGCAAAAGCAACUUUUUUCUAUAUAUCAGCCAGUUCAUUGACAAGCAAAUGGAUUGGCGAAGGUGAAAAGUUAGUGAGGGCCCUUUUUGGAGUCGCAAGUUGCCGCCAGCCUGCAGUAAUAUUUGUCGAUGAAAUAGAUUCUCUACUAUCUCAGCGUAAGUCAGAUGGUGAACAUGAAUCGAGUAGAAGACUCAAGACACAAUUCCUGAUUGAAAUGGAAGGUUUUGACAGUGUCAGCGAGCAAAUUCUCCUUAUAGGAGCAACAAAUAGGCCCCAAGAGCUCGAUGAAGCUGCACGAAGACGACUAACCAAGAGACUCUACAUUCCUCUUCCUUCAUCUGAAGCAAGAGCAUGGAUUAUACAGAAUCUCCUAAAGAAAGAUGGGUUGUUUACUCUGUCGGAUGAUGAUAUGAACAUCAUAUGCAGCCUAACUGAAGGGUACUCGGGAUCAGAUAUGAAGAACCUGGUGAAAGAUGCAACUAUGGGUCCAUUAAGAGAAGCUCUCAAACGAGGCAUAGAUAUAACUAACCUGACGAAAGAUGACAUGCGUCUUGUAACUCUUCAGGAUUUUAAAGACGCAUUGCAAGAAGUAAGGCCUUCUGUUUCUCAGAAUGAACUCGGAAUCUACGAAAAUUGGAACAAUCAGUUUGGUAGCUUAAGCCUCUAAGACUGAAAUAGUACCUAUUUAGACCCAAGAAUCAAAGAGAAUCAAAGAGCAACCUGAAAACGACCAACAAAAGCACAAAUGAGACUUCUGUACUCGAGACUCCUGGACCAUUCAUCAGUCUCACGUGCACGGAGAACUGGUAGUGGAUGUGACAGUUGACUGGUCUGAGCAUUUCUGUAGAAAGGAGCAUAUGUAAACAAACAAGAAGUGACUCUGAAGGAAGAAUAAUUUAAUUAAUCGCCACCACUUUUGUAUAGUAUUUAUUAUACUCUUCUUUAAUCGCAAACCCUAGUUGUCGGAGCUUGGAGAACAAGCAACACCAAACCGACUUAUUAAAACAAUAAUCAUCGAAAAGUCCAACAAUAAUAAGAAAAGAAACGAAAACAAAG